Molecule: ribosomal RNA, 844 nt
Filed under: Dictyna major
Lineage: Eukaryota; Metazoa; Arthropoda; Arachnida; Araneae; Dictynidae
Description: SSU rRNA
Rfam family: Eukaryotic small subunit ribosomal RNA
Source: RNAcentral
UCCAAGAAUGUUUCCAUUAAUCAAGAACGAAAGUUAGAGGUUCGAAGGCGAUCAGAUACCGCCCUAGUUCUAACCAUAAACGAUGCCAGCUAGCGAUCCGGCUGUGUUCCUCAAAUGACACGCCGGGCAGCUUCCGGGAAACCAAAGCCUUUGGGUUCCGGGGGGAGUAUGGUUGCAAAGCUGAAACUUAAAGGAAUAGACGGAAGGGCACCACCAGGAAUGGAGCCUGCGGCUUAAUUUGACUCAACACGGGAAAACUUACCCGGCCCGGACACAGGAAGGAUUGACAGAUUAAGAGCUCUUUCUUGAUUCUGUGGGUGGUGGUGCAUGGCCGCUCUUAGUUCGUGGAGCGAUUUGUCUGGUUAAUUCCGAUAACGAACGAGACUCUAGCCUAUUAAAUAGGCGUUCCGAUCUCUCAUGUCGGACGUUCUUCUUAGAGGGAUAAACGGCGUUUAGCCGCACGAGACAGAGCAAUAGCAGGUCUGUGAUGCCCUUAGAUGUCCGGGGCCGCACGCGCGCUACAUUGAAGGAAUCAGCGUGUGCUCUCCCUGUCCGACAGGACUGGGUAACCCGUUGAAACUCCUUCGUGCUGGGGAUAGGARYCUGUAACUAUUUUCCUUGAACGAGGAAUUCCCAGUAAGCACAAGUCAUCAGCUUGUGUUGACUACGUCCCUGGCCUUUGUACUCACCGCCCGUCGCUAUUACCGAUAGAGCGAUUUAGUGAGGUCUUCGGACUGGCGCUCGGAGCGGCCUUCGGGUCACGCGCCGCGGUGCCGGAAAGAUGACCGAACUUGACCGCUUAGAGGAAAUAAAAGUCGUAACAAGGUACCCGUAGGUGAACCUG